AACGAACGCUGGCGGCAGGCCUAACACAUGCAAGUCGAGCGGACCCUUCGGGGUUAGCGGCGGACGGGUGAGUAACGCGUGGGAAUAUGCCCUUCUCUACGGAAUAGUCCUGGGAAACUGGGGGUAAUACCGUAUACGCCCUUUGGGGGAAAGAUUUAUCGGGGAAGGAUUAGCCCGCGUUGGAUUAGGUAGUUGGUGGGGUAAUGGCCUACCAAGCCGACGAUCCAUAGCUGGUUUGAGAGGAUGAUCAGCCACACUGGGACUGAGACACGGCCCAGACUCCUACGGGAGGCAGCAGUGGGGAAUCUUAGACAAUGGGGGCAACCCUGAUCCAGCCAUGCCGCGUGAGUGAUGAAGGCCUUAGGGUUGUAAAGCUCUUUCAGCUGGGAAGAUAAUGACGGUACCAGCAGAAGAAGCCCCGGCUAACUCCGUG
This 433-nucleotide ribosomal RNA is filed under the name uncultured bacterium. Its description in RNAcentral is "partial 16S ribosomal RNA". It matches the Rfam family "Bacterial small subunit ribosomal RNA", at positions 29 to 507 of the family's 1533-position model. The record is from RNAcentral.